AUUUCGCAUGUAGGGGUAAAAUCCGUAGAGAUGCGAAGGAACACCAGGGGCGAAGGCGCCUUCCUGGACGAGUACUGACGCUGAGGCGCGAAAGCGUGGGGAGCAAACAGGAUUAGAUACCCUGGUAGUCCACGCCGUAAACGAUGAGCACUAGAUAUGGGGAUGUUGACCGUCUCCGUGUCGCAGCUAACGCAUUAAGUGCUCCGCCUGGGGAGUACGGUCGCAAGACUAAAACUCAAAGGAGUUGACGGGGGAAUCCAUAUG
RNAcentral lists this ribosomal RNA (264 nucleotides) under uncultured bacterium. Its description in RNAcentral is "partial 16S ribosomal RNA". It matches the Rfam family "Bacterial small subunit ribosomal RNA", at positions 666 to 929 of the family's 1533-position model. The record is from RNAcentral.